UACGUAGGGUGCGAGCGUUGUCCGGAAUUAUUGGGCGUAAAGAGCUCGUAGGCGGUUUGUCACGUCUGCUGUGAAAUCCCGAGGCUCAACCUCGGGCCUGCAGUGGGUACGGGCAGACUGGAGUGCGGUAGGGGAGAAUGUAAUUCCUGGUGUAGCGGUGGAAUGCGCAGAUAUCAGGAGGAACACCGAUGGCGAAGGCAGUUCUCUGGGCCGUAACUGACGCUGAGGAGCGAAAGCGUGGGGAGCGAACAGG
Molecule: ribosomal RNA, 253 nt
Filed under: uncultured bacterium
Lineage: Bacteria
Description: partial 16S ribosomal RNA
Rfam family: Bacterial small subunit ribosomal RNA
Source: RNAcentral